GGCCGGUCCAAACGGAUUGCGG
Molecule: non-coding RNA, 22 nt
Filed under: Arabidopsis thaliana (thale cress)
Lineage: Eukaryota; Viridiplantae; Streptophyta; Magnoliopsida; Brassicales; Brassicaceae
Source: RNAcentral